This 420-nucleotide long non-coding RNA is filed under the name Dromaius novaehollandiae (emu). Its description in RNAcentral is "lncRNA (ENSDNVG00000013460.1)". The record is from RNAcentral. Lineage: Eukaryota; Metazoa; Chordata; Aves; Casuariiformes; Dromaiidae.
AUGGACUGUUGGGUCAACAGGGCACUUGGAGCAAAAGAAAACCUGCAGAAAAGAAGCUACUGGUUUCUGCAGGCCAGUUCUCUCCUCAGAGCUGCUCUGAUGCUGGGUGCUGGGGGGAGAGCUGUGGCCCUGGAGCACUGGGGAGGUCACCAUCUUCUCAGCCGUCUGCUCGCUGAGACAUCCUUGCCUCUGCCAGGAUCAGCUCUUACUGAAUCCCUUUUGUUUUGUCCCUUUGGAAGCAGCACGUGUGCCUGCAGUCGACUCCCCCGAACCCGCAGCCAAGGGGGGCAGAUUCUGAUCCGUCACCAACUGCAAUCCAGUGUCACUCCGCUGCUGCUUCCAGGGAGUGACACUGGAUUAACGGACAUCAGAACCUGGGUUAGUCUCUGGGUGCUAUUCUGGGCUGGGAUCAUGGCAUGA